RNAcentral lists this ribosomal RNA (468 nucleotides) under uncultured bacterium. Its description in RNAcentral is "partial 16S ribosomal RNA". It matches the Rfam family "Bacterial small subunit ribosomal RNA", at positions 28 to 507 of the family's 1533-position model. The record is from RNAcentral.
GACGAACGCUGGCGGCGUGCUUAACACAUGCAAGUCGAACGGAAAGGCCCUGCUUUUGUGGGGUGCUCGAGUGGCGAACGGGUGAGUAACACGUGAGUAACCUGCCCUUGACUUUGGGAUAACUUCAGGAAACUGGGGCUAAUACCGGAUAGGAGCUCCUGCUGCAUGGUGGGGGUUGGAAAGUUUCGGCGGUUGGGGAUGGACUCGCGGCUUAUCUGCUUGUUGGUGGGGUAGUGGCUUACCAAGGCUUUGACGGGUAGGCGGCCUGAGAGGGUGACCGGCCACAUUGGGACUGAGAUACGGCCCAGACUCGUACGGGAGGCAGCAGUGGGGAAUAUUGCACAAUGGGCGGAAGCCUGAUGCAGCAACGCCGCGUGCGGGAUAACGGCCUUCGGGUUGUAAUCCGCUUUCGCCUGUGACGAAGCGUGAGUGACGGUAAUGGGUAAAGAAGCACCGGCUAACUACGUG